GAUGAACGCUGGCGGCGUGCCUAAUACAUACAAGUCGAGCGAACAGAUAAGGAGCUUGCUCCUUUGACGUUAGCGGCGGACGGGUGAGUAACACGUGGAUAACCUACCUAUAAGACUGGGAUAACUUCGGGAAACCGGAGCUAAUACCGGAUAACAUAUUGAACCGCAUGGUUCAAUAGUGAAAGGCGGCUUUGCUGUCACUUAUAGAUGGAUCCGCGCCGUAUUAGCUAGUUGGUAAGGUAACGGCUUACCAAGGCAACGAUACGUAGCCGACCUGAGAGGGUGAUCGGCCACACUGGAACUGAGACACGGUCCAGACUCCUACGGGAGGCAGCAGUAGGGAAUCUUCCGCAAUGGGCGAAAGCCUGACGGAGCAACGCCGCGUGAGUGAUGAAGGUCUUCGGAUCGUAAAACUCUGUUAUCAGGGAAGAACAAAUGUGUAAGUAACUGUGCACAUCUUGACGGUACCUGAUCAGAAAGCCACGGCUAACUACGUG
Molecule: ribosomal RNA, 497 nt
Filed under: uncultured bacterium
Lineage: Bacteria
Description: partial 16S ribosomal RNA
Rfam family: Bacterial small subunit ribosomal RNA
Source: RNAcentral